CCUACGGGAGGCAGCAGUGGGGAAUCUUGCGCAAUGGGCGAAAGCCUGACGCAGCAACGCCGCGUGCGGGAAGAAGGCUUUCGGGCUGUAAACCGCUUUCAGCAGGAACGAAAAUGACGGUACCUGCAGAAGAAGGAGCGGCCAACUAUGUGCCAGCAGCCGCGGUGAUACAUAGGCUUCAAGCGUUGUCCGGAUUUAUUGGGCGUAAAGAGUUCGUAGGCGGUCAAGUAAGUCGGGUGUGAAAAUUCUGGGCUCAACCCAGAGACGCCACCCGAUACUGCUUAACUUGAGUUCGAUAGGGGAGUGGGGAAUUCCUAGUGUAGCGGUGAAAUGCGCAGAUAUUAGGAGGAACACCGGUGGCGAAGGCGCCACUCUGGAUCGAUACUGACGCUGAGGAACGAAAGCAUGGGUAGCAAACAGGAUUAGAUACCCUGGUAGUCCAUGCCGUAAACGGUGGGCACUAGGUGUGGGGUUUACCUAUUAACGGAAAUCCGCGCCGUCGCUAACGCAUUAAGUGCCCCGCCUGGGGAAGUCGGUCGCAAGCUAAACGUCAAANAGAGUAAGUAGNGUUGAGAGUUGCGAGCGACGACGAGGGAGAG
Molecule: ribosomal RNA, 599 nt
Filed under: uncultured bacterium
Lineage: Bacteria
Description: bacterial SSU rRNA
Rfam family: Bacterial small subunit ribosomal RNA
Source: RNAcentral